Molecule: long non-coding RNA, 1622 nt
Filed under: Capra hircus (goat)
Lineage: Eukaryota; Metazoa; Chordata; Mammalia; Artiodactyla; Bovidae
Description: lncRNA (ENSCHIG00010013284.1)
Source: RNAcentral
AGGGGCCACAAAAGACUCGAGCACACACAGUAUACAAUAGUGUGAUUCAUAAUUUUUAGGUUUCAAAAAAUGUAAUCCAUCAGUUCAAAAGUUUGGAAUAUUUAACACCAUUGUCCAUGAGAUCAGAAACAUUUAUUCAAUUAGAUUGAAGUCCUCAGAAAAAUCAACUCCAUAGCUUUUGAGGGGAGGGAGGUGCAAUUUGAUUUACUACCAAGUGGGGAUUUGAGGAGGGGCAGGUAUUUUGGGAGUUUGGGUAGGGAGAUUUCUUUUUUUAGGCUUUUAUAUUUUUCUACUUCUAGGUGGCUAUGAAGUAUCCUGGUCUCCUAAUGUUUGUCUAGAUAAAACUUAUCUUUAAACAGAGACCUUAUACUGAUAGGAAAUGCAGUCUUUGGGGAGAGUUUCAAUGCAGCCCCCUUCCCCGGAUCACUGCAGAAGGUGGUCCUCAGGGGGCUGCGAAGCCAGGACACAUCAACUGUAAGUACCUACCCCACCCCCCCAUCCCACAGAAGCUGCUGGCCAGUGAUGUCCUAGCAGAACAUUCUGCCUACAGGGUGCUCAGUUCACCAGCCUCACCCAGAGGAGCCUUCGGGGACCAACCUUGCAUGAAUACACACACGUGCCUGUUCUGGGGCUUGAUUUAAGCUGCUCUAAGCUGAGGUACAAUGCUUUCCCAAGGACCGUGAACUAGGAUAGUUACAUGGGUCCUUCAUGGGGCAGCAUCUAUUUAAGAGGCUGGACCUUGUGUUCCUCUUGAAAUAAUCAGAUCCCUAGAACCAAUUCACUCUACCAGGGGCUUUUUUAACAUGCUGGUCAAAAUCUGGAGAAGAUUAUCUGAAGAAAGCUCCAGAUCUUCUGGCAUGUAAGGCAGCCCUAGUAGACAUCAAGUAAUCCUGCAGUGCACAGGGAUAAAACAGAAGGGUCCCAUGACACCAAACAGUAGCCAUGCUUGCUGGCUGGGCCUCCUGAUGGCUCUUGGCACUGUAUUUUCUAGUACCGUUUCCAUUAGUAUUACAUGAGAGUAAAUAUCCUGAACGUCUGCCUGGAUCCAAGCAUUUCCUGGAAGCAUGACUGCUUCAUCGUCCUCUCUAUGCCCAUGCAAGGUACAGCUAGGAGUGAAUAGCACUCUGGAGAAAACAGCCAGGCAGACAUCAUCCUGAGAAAGCGGGUUAGAGAAGGGACCAGAAGUCGGACGAAUCCAGUAUCCAAUCACCAAAGACCAGCAUCGCUGAAGAAUGCCCAUUUCAAUACAGUGUGGUCCAGCCACCUUGUAAUUUCUUCAGUCCAGUUAGAUUUUAGUCCAGGGCUGGCCCCCAGAGGCCACAGACAUUCAGAAUUCUACUCAACUUUCAGGCAUGAAGACGGUUCUUAAUUCCGUGUCCGACGAACCUUAGCCAAGGUCCCUUCCCUUCCUGUGUCUCGUAAGGCUACAGCCCAGAGGAUGAAAGAUAAACCUUUCAUUCACGACAAUAUAACAAAACUCUUGGAACCUUUGGCUUCCCAACGCCAUAGCCAUAGCCACCCUUGGAAAUAUGUACUCAUUUAAAAGCCCGCUCUUAAAAACACAAAGUCUUCUCCUACUGUGGACUCAAGUUCUCCCCAAAUCAGGACAGGCCGCCUCCACA